CCUACGGGCGGCAGCAGUGGGGAAUAUUGGGCAAUGGGCGCAAGCCUGACCCAGCAAAGCCGCGUGAAGGAUGAAGGCUCUCGGGUUGUUAACUUCUUUUUUCAGGGACGUAGAAAGUGCCGGUACCUGAGGAAUAAGCCACGGCUAACUACGUGCAAGCAGCCGCGGUAAUACGUAGGUGGCAAGCGUUAUCCGGAUUUACUGGGUUUAAAGGGCGUGUAGGCGGGAAAGCAAGUCAGAUGUGAAAACCAUGGGCUCAACCUGUAGUCUGCAUUUGAAACUGUCUUUCUUGAGUACUGGAGAGGCAGGCGGAAUUCGUAGUGUAGCGGUGAAAUGCGUAGAUAUUAGGAGGAACACCAGUGGCGAAGGCGGUCUGCUGGACAGCAACUGACGCUGAGGCGCGAAAGCGUGGGGAGCAAACAGGAUUAGAUACCCUAGUAGUC
This 443-nucleotide ribosomal RNA is filed under the name uncultured bacterium. Its description in RNAcentral is "partial 16S ribosomal RNA". It matches the Rfam family "Bacterial small subunit ribosomal RNA", at positions 338 to 795 of the family's 1533-position model. The record is from RNAcentral.